RNAcentral lists this ribosomal RNA (429 nucleotides) under Pseudomonadota bacterium. Its description in RNAcentral is "Proteobacteria bacterium partial 16S ribosomal RNA". It matches the Rfam family "Bacterial small subunit ribosomal RNA", at positions 355 to 776 of the family's 1533-position model. Lineage: Bacteria; Pseudomonadati; Pseudomonadota. The record is from RNAcentral.
UGGGGAAUAUUGGACAAUGGGCGAAAGCCUGAUCCAGCCAUGCCGCGUGUGUGAAGAAGGUCUUCGGAUUGUAAAGCACUUUAAGUUGGGAGGAAGGGCAGUAAGCGAAUACCUUGCUGUUUUGACGUUACCGACAGAAUAAGCACCGGCUAACUCUGUGCCAGCAGCCGCGGUAAUACAGAGGGUGCGAGCGUUAAUCGGAUUUACUGGGCGUAAAGCGUGCGUAGGCGGCUAAUUGAGUCGGAUGUGAAAUCCCCGAGCUUAACUUGGGAAUUGCAUUCGAUACUGGUUAGCUAGAGUGUGGGAGAGGAUGGUAGAAUUCCAGGUGUAGCGGUGAAAUGCGUAGAUAUAGGAAGGAACACCAGUGGCGAAGGCGACCACCUGGGCUCAUACUGACACUGAGGUGCGAAAGCGUGGGGAGCAAACAGG